RNAcentral lists this long non-coding RNA (930 nucleotides) under Oryza sativa Indica Group (long-grained rice). RNAcentral's name for it is "lncRNA OsLiXu_11g0005030". Lineage: Eukaryota; Viridiplantae; Streptophyta; Magnoliopsida; Poales; Poaceae. The record is from RNAcentral.
GAUCUGGGAACGGGCGGCCAAGGGAGCGGCGUCGGCGUCCUCCAGCGGCAGGCAGCGGGAGAACGUGACGGGUGGAAAGGAGUCGCCGCCGCAGCCGCCGGAGGUCGGAGCCGAGGAGAGGUGGGCGGACAACAACGAGCGACGCCUCGAGGAUCCUGUCUGGAAAGGAGGGCGGCGACGAGCAGCUGUAGCCCCUCACCCAGUUGUCGGCUCAUCACAGCCCCACACGGUGGCCGGGGAGAAAGAGGAUUGUGGAGGCUGAUGUCCAAGAGAGAGGGCUGCCUGCCUUCUGGAUCCGAAGGCCCAUCUUCUCCCCAGCCGAUGACGCCAUGCCGGCCUCCUCAUUUGAUUGAGGCAUCCUCAUCAUCAGCCAAAGUAGCUUGCACAAGGCAGCGAAGUUCAGAUGUGCUUCGAUCGGGUCAUGGUGUGCUCCACUUCGCAGUAACAUAUGUGUUCCUGAGUUUGUAUAUUUUCAGUAGGUGCAGUGUGGGAUACUGUAGUUGAGGCACGGGUUGAUGGCAUGUUGAUGAGCCAAUCCUGCUGCUCCAAUUGACAGCUUCAAGGGGCACUUUCUAUUUUAUUGGCUUCUAAUCUGUGUCAUUUAGAGUCAUACUGAAUGUAAAUCGAGACUUCUCGUUGAAACCACCUAUUGGAGACACUGGUAAGGACACACGAGUAGGACCAUAAAGAUUAUUAUGCGGCAUGGCACAGGACUAGCAGCAGCGUCGGCAAGGAGGUGACUGAGUCUGGUGCCAGCCAUAUCCAUCAUUGUUGGUGGUGUUGUAAUUUUUUAUUUGUUUUUGUGCAUUCUACAAAUGUAUCACAUUGCGUGUGUGAUCAGACAGCCGUUGUAAUUCUAAAUCCGUUCAAACAUUUGUCGGAUGUGCAUAAAUGUUUUGCUCCUGCAGUCUAAGAGUAAUUUAUUUACUC